AACGUUGUUGCAGUUAAAAAGCUCGUAGUUGAAGUGUGGGAGGUGCCAUCUGUGAAGCUUCGGCUUCUAAGAUGAUCACUACCCCCUUCCAGUAUCCAGUAGUGGGUAUUCAGUUACUUACUAUUGUGUGUUGGUCGUUUACUGUGAGAAAAUUAGAGUGUUCAAAGCAGGCGUUUGCUUGAAUAGAUUAGCAUGGAAUAAUAAUUGAAGGCUUUCGUGUUCGAUUUGAUUGGUUUGUUCAUGGAAGCAAGGUUAAAAGGAACAGUUGGGGGUAUUCAUAUUCACUAGUUAAAGGGGAAAUUCUCGAAUUUAUGAAAAAUGA
Molecule: ribosomal RNA, 322 nt
Filed under: Blastocystis sp.
Lineage: Eukaryota; Bigyra; Opalinata; Blastocystidae
Description: SSU rRNA
Rfam family: Eukaryotic small subunit ribosomal RNA
Source: RNAcentral